GCCGGUAGUUAGCUCUCUGUAACUUUAACAUGGUUGCCCACUGAAGCUAAGCAGAGCUGUGCCUGGUCAGUAGCUGGAUGGAAGACCACAUGGGAAAGCUAGGUUGCAGCCGGAA
This is a ribosomal RNA of Danio rerio (zebrafish), 115 nucleotides long. The record is from Ensembl. NCBI's taxonomy places the organism in Eukaryota, Metazoa, Chordata, Actinopteri, Cypriniformes, Danionidae.